GGAUGCGUAGCUCAGUUGGUAGAGCAACUGACUCUUAAUCAGUGGGUCCAGGGUUCGAGUCCCUGCGCGUCCACCA
RNAcentral lists this transfer RNA (76 nucleotides) under bacterium. RNAcentral's name for it is "tRNA-Lys". It matches the Rfam family "tRNA". Rfam says of the family: Transfer RNA (tRNA) molecules are approximately 80 nucleotides in length. RNAcentral also lists the same sequence under 5 other names. The record is from RNAcentral.